AACCCAGGGCCGCAGUCGCGUCGGCUAGCCUGCGAGUCUCAGAGGAAAAAGGGGCUCCAGAAGUGCGUGCCCCGGGCCGCUCACCCGGCCCUGCAAUUGUGGGAAGAAGAGAAUAGAGGAGUGAAGAAGGGUGCAUUUUCCAUCUCACCUCAGUCCUCGGCUAGGAAAACCACAUAGCCCUGACCAGUGGGCUCAAGGCCCUGCUGGAAACUGGUUCUGAGUGUAUAUGUCUCAGCUUGAGAUGAGAAAAUGAGAACAAGUAACAAGCAUAUUUUUUCAACUGUCUUUUCUAAAGUGCAGGUUAGGGGCUUCCCUGGUGGCGCAGUGGUUAAGAAUCUGUCUGCCAAUGCAGGGGACACGGGUUCGAGCCCUGGUCUGGGAAGAUCCCACAUGCCAUGGAGCAACUAAGCCCGUGCGCCACAACUACUGAGCCUGCGCUCUAGAGCCUGCGAGCCACAACUAAUGAGCCUGUAUGCCACAACUAGUGAAGCCCACGGACCUAGAGCCCGUGCUCCGCAACAAGAGAAGUCACCGCAAUGAGAAGCCCGCACACUGCAACGAAGACCCAACACAGCCCAAAAUACAAAAAACAAGUAAAAUUGGUUUUCAAAUCUGCUAAUUGGUGAAAAGAGAUCCACUUCUCUCUCAAGUUACAGAAGCAGAAAUUCAACUGGUCCUUAUUAAUGAAAGAUCUUCAGUGAAGGUUGAAAGCCCUUCAGAUCAGUCAUACCAGACUUUGAGCUCCUCUGGCCUCCGUGGUUCCAUCAUCUGUGCUCAUGGCUCACAGGUGUGCAGGACAGCUAUGUCCAGGACUAACCGAGGACAAAAAUGGUUACUUAACCACCCAGAUAGCUCACUGGAAAUAAAUAUGGAAAUUUCCUAAGAGGCUGAAUACUGAUGAGGUUGUGACUGAAUUUAGAAUUCUCUUCUGGACACAAUUCCUUGGGUGAUAUAGGAUCCUAAAUUUAUUUGUUUUACCUUUGUAUUUUGGAAAAGUUAAAACUUAUAAAAGUUGAUAAAUUAGUAUUCUGUGUGCCCAUCACCUAGCUUCAAGAAUUAUUAAUUUACAGGGCAGAAUAAUGGCCCCCGCAAGAUGUCCGUGUCCUAAAGCCUGGAACUUGUUGAUAUGUUAGGUUAUGUGAUAAGCAAGAAUUAUGGUUACACAUGGAAUUAAGGUUGCUCAUCAGUUGACACUGAGAUGGGGGAGAUUAUCCUGAUUCUCCAGGUGGGAACAAUCUAAUCACAUGCAUCUUUGUAAGUGCAAGAAGGAGGCACUAGAGAGAGACCCAGAUAGAUGGCCAUGUGAGAAGGUAUUGGCUGAUGCUGUUCAAGAGAGAUGGAGGAAUGGGGCCUUGAGCCAAGGAAUGUGGCUAGCCUAUAAAAGCUGAAAAAGGCAAGGAAACAGAUUCUCCCCUAGAGCAGCCUGAAGGACUGGAGGCCUGUCAACAUCUUGAUUUUAGCCUAGUGAGACCUAAUUCAGAUUUCUUACCUACAGAACCAUAAGAUAAUAAAUUUGUGUUGUUUUAGGCCACUGAGUUUGAGGUAAUUUUUUGUAGCAGCUAUAGAAAACAGAUUUCUAAAAAAAAAAAAGGGAGGGAGAGAGAAAGGCUGUCAAAAUGUGAAGGGAAUAAAAUAAUCCUUAAGGUUAGCACUAAAAAUUUCUUUGAAUGUAUUUUACAAACCUAGCAAAGAAAGACUUUUAUUUGUUGGCUUUGACUACAAAAGGAAUGGAUAUAAAUCUGAAUAUCUAUAAAAGAGAUUUGAAUAUAUAUACAAAAGUUUAAAUAGAUAUUUAAAUUGCUAAUAUGAUUAGUUUUAUUAAUCACUUGAAUGAUUUAAGCCCAUUACUCUCAUCUUUUGGUGCCAUUUUUAUUAAACUACUUAUUUCCAUUACAUAAAUUGCAAAUUAGAUACUCUGGCUUACUUAAAUAUAUGUAUUAUGGUACUCUUGAUGGUUUUCUUUUAUAUACUAUUUAUCUAAUUUCAGCAAAAAGGCAGAUAUUGGAGAGAUAAAAACUCAUUAUUUUAUAGAAGCUAGUGAAAUUGUUUAUACUUAUUAAGAUAUGGUACUUUCAAUAAAACCAACUUAAAAUCUAUGAUCAUUUUCUUCAAAAUAAUUCUCUAAAUUCCUAUUUACAUUCAUAGGUUCUUUUUUUCUAAGCCUGAUAAAGUACUUAAGAUGAAUCCAAAAACCAACCAACCAAUCACUCAACUAACUCUGCAAACAUAAACAUAAGUAAAAACAAAAAAAUAAACAAAACAAAGCAUUUAAGUUUAUAAGCACUUUUGAAAAGUGAUGCAAAUGGCUUGAAUGAACUUUCUCAUAUAUCUCGUUUUUAUCUUGCUAAUGUUAAAGGACAAAAGAUCAAUGUCUAGAUUUACUGAAGUCAUGUAUCCUAAUGGACCAUUUCUUUUACGUUUAGACACUUUCCCCCUCAAAGAUAUUAGCCAUAUGAUUCACAAUCUGCAGUGAGGUUUUACUAAAUGUUAUUAUUGGAGAUAUAUUCAACUGUAUGUUUGAGAUGGAUAGAUUAUAUUCCUUUGGAAAAUUGCAGGAGAAAUUCUGUGGUAGCAUAUACUUGUUUUGAAAGUAUAAAUUAGAAAUACACACUAAUAAUUUUGAGCAUAUGGCACAAACUUUAACACACAAACACAACAUAUGCACAUCAAACUCCCAAAUCUCAGAAAUACAUAUGCUAUUUAACAUUUCCACUUAAUACUUAAUACAUCAUCUCAUUCUUCCUAGACACUAUGAGAAACUGAAAUGUACAAAAUUAAGGGUCGUCUCUAAAGCUGUUGUGAUAUGUAAACCUGGUUAGGCUGUGGUGCCCAGUUAUUUGGUUGUUAUGAAAAUAGUUUUUAGAUGUGAUUAACAUUUACAAUCAGUAGACUUUGAAUAAAGCAGAUUAUCCUCCAUAAUCUGGGUGGGCCUCAUCUAACUAGUUGAAGGUCUUAAGAGCAAAGAUGGAGGAUUCCUGAGGAAAAAGCAAUUCUUCCUCAAGACUGCAGCAUAGAAACACUGCCCAAGUUUCCCACCUGCUGGCCUGCAUUGCAGAUUUUGGGCUCAAGGCUGCAACGUCAACUCUCCUUUGAGUUUCUAGCCUGCUGGUCUGCCCUAUGGAUUUUAGACUUUCUAGGCCCCUAAAUUGUAUAAGUCAAUUCCUUAAAAUCUCUGUCUCUCUGUCUCUCUAUAGAUAGGUAGGUAGGUAGGUAGAUAGACAGAUAGAUAGACAGACAGACAGAUAGAUAGAUCCAUCUCCUAUUGGUUCUGUUCCUCUCAGACAGACCCUGCCUAAAUAGCUAUUAUUGCCCAAACACCUUGCAAAUAAGACAUUAACCUUGAUUACUUCUGAAAAAAAGUAAUUCUGUAUUCUCAUUUUGGGUACCUUUCACUUGCUUUAUUUAAAUUGAUCCAAAAUAUUUUAUUCCUUUUAGCUCAAAUUGAUAACAAAAACUUUAAAAGCUCAAAAGAACUUCUUUCUACCCAAUAUUCCUGUCAUUGAGUUUCUUUCUCCACCUCCACCCAACUCCUCACUACUCUCCUAUCCAGUCCAUGAAUUAUCCCUAACAUAUACUUCAUUUUCUAAAAUACAAGAUCAUUGAAGAACUUUUUAGACACUCUAACAUAGUUUCUAAAUUUUUUGGUUUAAGUCUCUUUUCUGUGACUAUCACUACUGUGUUCUGUUUUUUACGUAUACUCCCUAGUGACUGUUUUCUAUAAAUUUAUGUUUAGCCAACAGUUAAAAUAAUGUGUGCUUGGAUAAUAGUUGAAAAAGCUCAAAGACUCUGGAUCAAUUACCAUAAGGCUGUCUUAAAGAAGACUUGCUUUGUCUACCUUAAAAUAAGACCCUUUACUGGUGUUUAAGAUAAAGCUGUGUCUUCAUUUUCUUCUUUAGAUUCAGAGUUAAUUCUGACCAGAACUCUAAAACGAAUUGCAAAUGAUCAGUUAAUUAAAGCAAUGCAGUCCACACCAGGAGGACUGAGUUCCUUUCUAAGCUGAUAAAAUAUUUAAAAAUGCAUAUUAAUAUGGGACUUUUUCCAGGUAAAGAUACAAAAUUCAAAACUACAACAAAAUUAGUCUUCUGCUGUUGCUUAAGAGGGAUUUAGCCCCUGUGCAAUUUAUGACUCAGAUUAUCUUCUUAAACAAUGUUACCCAAAUAAACCUUCCUUGAAAUCAGUGGUACUGGUAUUCAAACAUUUUUCCUUUACAUGGAGUUAACUGUAUCCUCUAUCAUCUGACUGAACCAACUAACGUCAUUUCUCUUAAAGACAUCAACAGCUCAAGGAAAAACAAAGUUUUCUCUCCAGGGCUGGGGGAGGAAUUUUGCUUUGCACUUGAAAAUGUUUUCUCUGUUCCAAGAAGAUAUUAGGAUCAGUUGACUGACAACAGGAAAAAUUUUCCUGGCAGAGAAGGAAGCCAG
Globicephala melas (long-finned pilot whale) is the source of this 4421-nucleotide long non-coding RNA. RefSeq lists it as uncharacterized. Lineage: Eukaryota; Metazoa; Chordata; Mammalia; Artiodactyla; Delphinidae. The record is from RefSeq and is a predicted model, not a curated record.